RNAcentral lists this ribosomal RNA (452 nucleotides) under Micrococcineae bacterium CL5.30. Its description in RNAcentral is "bacterial SSU rRNA". It matches the Rfam family "Bacterial small subunit ribosomal RNA", at positions 15 to 479 of the family's 1533-position model. The record is from RNAcentral. Lineage: Bacteria; Bacillati; Actinomycetota; Actinomycetes; Micrococcales.
GAUCCUGGCUCAGGAUGAACGCUGGCGGCGUGCUUAACACAUGCAAGUCGAACGAUGAUCCCAGCUUGCUGGGGGAUUAGUGGCGAACGGGUGAGUAACACGUGAGUAACCUACCCUUAACUCUGGGAUAAGCCUGGGAAACUGGGUCUAAUACCGGAUAUGACUCCUCAUCGCAUGGUGGGGGGUGGAAAGCUUUAUUGUGGUUUUGGAUGGACUCGCGGCCUAUCAGCUUGUUGGUGAGGUAAUGGCUCACCAAGGCGACGACGGGUAGCCGGCCUGAGAGGGUGACCGGCCACACUGGGACUGAGACACGGCCCAGACUCCUACGGGAGGCAGCAGUGGGGAAUAUUGCACAAUGGGCGAAAGCCUGAUGCAGCGACGCCGCGUGAGGGAUGACGGCCUUCGGGUUGUAAACCUCUUUCAGUAGGGAAGAAGCGAAAGUGAACGGUACC